AUGAACGCUGGCGGCGUGCCUCAUCCAUUCCAGUCGCGCGAACAGACGAGGAGCUUGCUCCUCUGACGUUAGCGGCGGACGGGUGAGUAACACGUGGAUAACCUACCUAUAAGACUGGGAUAACUUCGGGAAACCGGAGCUAAUACCGGAUAAUAUAUUGAACCGCCUGGUUCAAUAGUGAAAGACGGUUUUGCUGUCACUUAUAGAUGGAUCCGCGCCGCAUUAGCUAGUUGGUAAGGUAACGGCUUACCAAGGCGACGAUGCGUAGCCGACCUGAGAGGGUGAUCGGCCACACUGGAACUGAGACACGGUCCAGACUCCUACGGGAGGCAGCAGUAGGGAAUCUUCCGCAAUGGGCGAAAGCCUGACGGAGCAACGCCGCGUGAGUGAUGAAGGUCUUCGGAUCGUAAAACUCUGUUAUUAGGGAAGAACAAAUGUGUAAGUAACUAUGCACGUCUUGACGGUACCUAAUCAGAAAGCCACGGCUAACUACGUG
This 496-nucleotide ribosomal RNA is filed under the name uncultured bacterium. RNAcentral describes it as "partial 16S ribosomal RNA". It matches the Rfam family "Bacterial small subunit ribosomal RNA", at positions 29 to 507 of the family's 1533-position model. The record is from RNAcentral.